This 117-nucleotide small nucleolar RNA is filed under the name Otolemur garnettii (small-eared galago). Lineage: Eukaryota; Metazoa; Chordata; Mammalia; Primates; Galagidae. The record is from RNAcentral.
AGCCAUAAAUCUUUAUGGCUUCAAAGAGGUCAUCCUAUUAUGUGCUACACAAAUAGUUGAAGGUUAAUUAGCAGUAUAACUAUAAAUAGUAAUGCUGCAAGUCUUCUUUAGACAAGA